AAGUCGUAACAAGGUCUCCGUAGGUGAACCUGCGGAGGGAUCAUUAACACUAUUUGAUUCUUAGGGAGCAAUCCUAGGUUUCAAAUUAAAACCAACCACACCACGUGAACUCGGUUCUGCUUGCAGAGCCAAUCUCUCCCUUUGAAAUUGAAAGACUUGGAUCCGAUGUGUAGUGGGGGUAUUGCACCCCAUCUGUCCAAGUUAGCAUAGCCCUCACGGGGGAUUAUGAACUUUCACUUUCUUAGGCAAUUCUUGAAAUGUAGCCGCUACAGCAUUGCCCUCUCUCUAACUAUUAUUGUCUAACCACAAUUUUCACCCCUUCGUACUCCAAUUGACUGAUUAUGUUGAGCUAAACCGAAAGGUUUAAUUCUUCACAAGAUUUUCUAAUCUAAGCACAACUCUUAGCAACGGAUAUCUUGGUUCUC
RNAcentral lists this unclassified non-coding RNA (425 nucleotides) under fungal sp. RNAcentral describes it as "partial internal transcribed spacer region". The stretch from base 1 to 46 matches the Rfam family "Eukaryotic small subunit ribosomal RNA", at positions 1786 to 1831 of the family's 1831-position model. Lineage: Eukaryota; Fungi. The record is from RNAcentral.